Molecule: ribosomal RNA, 731 nt
Filed under: uncultured Glomeromycotina
Lineage: Eukaryota; Fungi; Glomeromycota
Description: SSU rRNA
Rfam family: Eukaryotic small subunit ribosomal RNA
Source: RNAcentral
GGGUUCGAUUCCGGAGAGGGAGCCUGAGAAACGGCUACCNNNNNNNNGGAAGGCAGCAGGCGCGCAAAUUACCCAAUCCCGACACGGGGAGGUAGUGACAAUAAAUAACAAUACGGGGCUCUUUCGGGUCUCGUAAUUGGAAUGAGUACAAUUUAAAUCCCUUAACGAGGAACAAUUGGAGGGCAAGUCUGGUGCCAGCAGCCGCGGUAAUUCCAGCUCCAAUAGCGUAUAUUAAAGUUGUUGCAGUUAAAAAGCUCGUAGUUGAAUUUCGGGAUUGACACAUCGGUCGUGCCUUAAGGGGUAUGAACUGGUGUAGUCAAUUUCUCACCUUCUGGAGAACCGCGAUGCCCUUAAUUGGGUGUCACGGGGAACCAGGACCUUUACUUUGAAAAAAUUAGAGUGUUUAAAGCAGGCAUUUUGCUUGAAUACAUUAGCAUGGAAUAAUAAAAUAGGACGGCAUGAUUCUAUUUUGUUGGUUUCUAGGAUCACCGUAAUGAUUAAUAGGGAUAGUUGGGGGCAUUAGUAUUCAAUUGUCAGAGGUGAAAUUCUUGGAUUUAUUGAAGACUAACUACUGCGAAAGCAUUUGCCAAGGAUGUUUUCAUUAAUCAAGAACGAAAGUUAGGGGAUCGAAGACGAUCAGAUACCGUCGUAGUCUUAACCAUAAACUAUGCCGACUAGGAAUCAGACGAUGUUAAUUUUUUAAUGACUCGUUUGGCACCUUACGGGAAACC